AGCUGGAUGAAGUAAUCUGAGAUCACUGGGUGGCUUAAAAGGGGCUACGCAUCGAUAGUAGAAACAUUGAUCGGCAACCCUGUGAUUGGUCGGCGAAGAUGUCGAAGGAGCGCGCUCAGUAUUUUACGGCAGCAGAGCAAGAACUCUUGAUUGAGGGAUUUCAGGAGUUUCAGAGUUUAAUUAAAACGCAGGGGAACACUGCAAAGGCUGCAAAAGCAAGGAGAGAGGGCUGGCAGAAAGUUGCUGACAAAUUAAACUCGUAAGUGAUCCAUGAUAUUACAUUAUAUCAUGUGAUAUUAUAUUAUACCACAUUAUAUUAUAUUACAUCAUAUCCUCUUCCACAUUAGAGCCACAACAGGACCCACUAGAACAUGGGAAAAAGUAAAAGUGAAAUAUAAGAAUAUUCUACAGAAUGGUAAUAUUUAUCACUUAUAUUGCUUUUAGUCUCCUGAAAAGAGACCCUGAAAUAAUCUGUUUGUUUGUUUAUAACAGCAACCAAGAAAAGGGCAGAGCAAAUAAAGACAGGUGGUGGUCCUGCACCCCCUCGUCACACCCCGGCAGAGGAGCUGGCCCUAGGGUUGAAUGCCACCAGACCCAUUGUGGAGGGCAUCCCUGGGGGCGGCUCUUCCUUAGACCAGCAGCCGGGGUGCAGUAGUAGCAGCACCUACAUAACUGUCGUACAUGACACUCCGUCACUUAUACCUGUUCCCAUGCAAGGGGUGACUGCAGCAUGCACAGACAGUGAAGCAACCCUGUCAGAUGACUGUGGUGUGGAGGAAGUCCCUG
Molecule: long non-coding RNA, 786 nt
Organism: Oreochromis aureus
Lineage: Eukaryota; Metazoa; Chordata; Actinopteri; Cichliformes; Cichlidae
Source: Ensembl